This 821-nucleotide ribosomal RNA is filed under the name uncultured Armatimonadota bacterium. RNAcentral describes it as "bacterial SSU rRNA". It matches the Rfam family "Bacterial small subunit ribosomal RNA", at positions 146 to 981 of the family's 1533-position model. Lineage: Bacteria; Bacillati; Armatimonadota. The record is from RNAcentral.
GUUACUGGAAACGGUGGGUAAUACCGGAUGUGGCUCUGGGAGGACAUCCUCCUAGAAUUAAAUGGUUUUUCGCUUCGGGAGCGGCUUAUGGCCUAUCAGGUAGUUGGUGGGGUAAUGGCCUACCAAGCCUACGACGGGUAGCGGGUCUGAGAGGACGAUCCGCUCGAGUGGGACUGAGACACGGCCCACACACCUACGGGUGGCAGCAGUUGGGAAUCUUGCACAAUGGGGGAAACCCUGAUGCAGCGACGCCGCGUGGAGGAUGAAGGAUCUAGGUCUGUAAACUCCUUUUUCAGGGAAAGACUUAGGACGGUACCCUGAGAAUAAGCUCCGGCUAACUACGUGCCAGCAGCCGCGGUAAGACGUAGGGAGCAAGCGUUGUCCGGAUUUACUGGGCGUAAAGCGCGCGUAGGCGGCCUGUUAAGUGAGAAGUGAAAUCUCCAGAGCUCAACUCGGAAAUUGCUUUUCAUACUGGCAGGCUGGAGGGAUGUAGAGGUGAAUGGAAUUCCCGGUGUAGCGGUGAAAUGCGUUGAUAUCGGGAGGAACACCCAUGGCGAAGGCAGUUCACUGGACAUCUCCUGACGCUGAGGCGCGAAAGCGUGGGUAGCAAACAGGAUUAGAUACCCUGGUAGUCCACGCCCUAAACGAUGGAUACUAGGCGUAAGAGGUAUCGACCCCUCUUGUGCCGCAGCUAACGCAUUAAGUAUCCCGCCUGGGGAGUACGGCCGCAAGGUUGAAACUCAAAUGAAUUGACGGGGACCCGCACAAGCGGUGGAGCAUGUGGAUUAAUUCGAUACUAACCGAAGAACCUUACCCAGGCU